GGUAAUGUUGUAAUACACAAUGUAUUAUAGUGGAGGUAAUGUUGUAAUACACAAUGUAUUAUAGUGGAGGUAAUGUUGUAAUACACAAUGUAUUAUAGUGGAGGUAAUGUUGUAAUACACAGUGUAUUAUAGUGGAGGUAAUGUUGUAAUACACAGUGUAUCAUAGUGGAGGUAAUGUUGUAAUACACAGUGUAUCAUAGUGGAGGUAAUGAAGCAUCUGUUCUCCCAGUGUAAUACACAGUGUAUUAUAGUGGAGGUAAUGUUGUAAUACACAGUGUAUUGUAGUGGAGGUAAUGUUGUAAUACACAGUGUAUCGUAGUGGAGGUAAUGUUGUAAUACACAGUGUAUCAUAGUGGAGG
Long non-coding RNA from Oncorhynchus tshawytscha (Chinook salmon), 359 nucleotides. The record is from Ensembl. Lineage: Eukaryota; Metazoa; Chordata; Actinopteri; Salmoniformes; Salmonidae.